Molecule: unclassified non-coding RNA, 944 nt
Filed under: uncultured eukaryote
Lineage: Eukaryota
Description: partial contains ITS1, 5.8S rRNA, and ITS2
Rfam family: 5.8S ribosomal RNA (bases 489-642)
Source: RNAcentral
GGAAGGAUCAUUAUCGAGCAAAAAGACUCUCACUAACUAGUGUUCACUACUGAGAGCCGCUACGGGGUCGCCCCCGCUCGGCCCGACCUGGAAGGGUCGGUGUUCGAGCACGGGGCCGGUUGUCGGCUUUCCAGCCGUUGCAACUGCCCUCUUCCCACAUACGACGGGAUUAAGUGGCGCGAGUAUGGGGGACAUGUCGAACUCCUCUGAUUUUAGAGCGCUAGUUCGACGACGGCGUCGUCUCGCCUUACUCAUUCAAACACAAACUAACGGUAUUCUGUUGGCGUCUACGCCUGAGCCUAGAGUUACGGUUGCCUUUCCGUCGACCGUCUGAAUGGCCAGGAGACAGUUCCCGUCGUUCCAUUUCCAAUGGGCGACGGUCGAGCAGACUUAAUGAGCGCCGGCCGGGGCGUCGCCAGCAAACACACCCACUUAACGAGGUUACCGAAUUGAUCACCUCCAACUCUUCUAGAGAUGGAAAAAAUUACUACUCUAAGCGGUGGAUCACUCGGCUCGUGGAUCGAUGAAGAACGCAGCUAGCUGCGUUAAAUAGCGCGAAUUGCAGACACAUUGAGCGCUAAAAUUUCGAACGCAAAUUGCGCCAUCGGGUUCAUUCCCGUUGGCAUGCCCGUCCGAGGGUCGGAUACCCUAUGUUACCGAUAGGCUCUGUGCGCUUAGGUUGUUCGCGCGAAGGCGUCUUUUCGCGCGAAGCCCCUAGACGUACGGAGUCGGUUAGUCGGAGCGCUACUAUGCGUAAGCGUAGUACCGCUCUCAGAUGAUACGGUUCUUCGGAACUUGCGUGCUCGAGCGCUCACCCGCUCUACAACGCAGUGCAAGACAUGGUGGCUAAGGCCGGAUUCGCGCCGCACAUCGCUCGAAUCGACAAGCGCCGCUAACUCCGCCGUCUCGCGCAUUCAUCAAUUGACCUCGGAUCGGACAUGACU